RNAcentral lists this ribosomal RNA (396 nucleotides) under uncultured bacterium. RNAcentral describes it as "partial 16S ribosomal RNA". It matches the Rfam family "Bacterial small subunit ribosomal RNA", at positions 523 to 918 of the family's 1533-position model. The record is from RNAcentral.
AUACGUAGGGAGCGAGCGUUGUCCGGAAUUACUGGGUGUAAAGGGAGCGUAGGCGGGAGUGCAAGUCAGAUGUGAAAUACAUGGGCUCAACCCAUGGGCUGCAUUUGAAACUGCAUUUCUUGAGUGAAGUAGAGGUAAGCGGAAUUCCUGGUGUAGCGGUGAAAUGCGUAGAUAUCAGGAGGAACACCGGUGGUGAAGGCGGCUUACUGGGCUUUUACUGACGCUGAGGCUCGAAAGCGUUGGGAGCAAACAGGAUUAGAUACCCUGGUAGUCCACGCUGUAAACGAUGAUUACUAGGUGUGGGGGGACUGACCCCUUCCGUGCCGCAGUUAACACAAUAAGUAAUCCACCUGGGGAGUUCGGCCGCAAGGUGGAAACUCAAAUUAAUUGACGGGG